RNAcentral lists this ribosomal RNA (253 nucleotides) under uncultured bacterium. Its description in RNAcentral is "partial 16S ribosomal RNA". It matches the Rfam family "Bacterial small subunit ribosomal RNA", at positions 524 to 776 of the family's 1533-position model. The record is from RNAcentral.
UACGUAGGUGGCAAGCGUUGUUCGGAGUUAUUGAGCGUAAAGGGCGCGUAGGCGGUUUGUUAUGUCGGUCGUGAAAGCCCGGGGCUCAACCCCGGAGGGUCGACCGAUACUGGCAGGCUAGAGUACAGAAGAGGUAGCUGGAAUUCCCGGUGCAGCGGUGAAAUGCGUAGAUACCGGGAGGAACACCUGAGGCGAAGGCGGGCUACUGGGCUGAUACUGACGCUGAGGCGCGAAAGCUAGGGGAGCAAACGGG